AAUCAACGCUGGCGGCGUGCCUAACACAUGCAAGUCGAACGAGAAAGUGGAGCAAUCCAUGAGUAAAGUGGCGCACGGGUGAGUAACACGUGACUAACCUACCCUUGAGUGGGGGAUAACCUAGGGAAACCUGGGCUAAUACCGCAUAAUACCUACGGGUCAAAGGAGCAAUUCGCUUUAGGAGGGGGUCGCGGCAGAUUAGUUAGUUGGCGGGGUAAGUGGCCCACCAAGACGAUGAUCGUAUCCGGCCUCGAGAGGGCGCACGGACGACA
RNAcentral lists this ribosomal RNA (272 nucleotides) under uncultured bacterium. RNAcentral's name for it is "partial 16S ribosomal RNA". It matches the Rfam family "Bacterial small subunit ribosomal RNA", at positions 32 to 312 of the family's 1533-position model. The record is from RNAcentral.